UACAGAGGUCCCAAGCGUUGUUCGGAUUCACUGGGCGUAAAGGGUGCGUAGGUGGUGGGGUAAGUCGGAUGUGAAAUCUCCGAGCUCAACUCGGAAAUGGCAUUGGAAACUACCCUGCUAGAGGGUCGGAGGGGGGACUGGAAUGCUUGGUGUAGCAGUGAAAUGCGUAGAUAUCAGGAGGAACACCGGUGGCGAAGGCGGGUCUCUGGGCCGAUACUGACGCUGAGGAGCGAAAGCGUGGGGAGCGAACAGG
RNAcentral lists this ribosomal RNA (253 nucleotides) under uncultured bacterium. RNAcentral describes it as "partial 16S ribosomal RNA". It matches the Rfam family "Bacterial small subunit ribosomal RNA", at positions 524 to 776 of the family's 1533-position model. The record is from RNAcentral.